RNAcentral lists this unclassified non-coding RNA (210 nucleotides) under Hevea brasiliensis (rubber tree). The record is from RNAcentral. Lineage: Eukaryota; Viridiplantae; Streptophyta; Magnoliopsida; Malpighiales; Euphorbiaceae.
UUGCAUCAAUAAACAAGUCAGCUAUAGAAGAUAUCAAGAAGAAGGGUUUGAGGUUAUGCGAUUUGGCAACUGCUCUAAAGCAAAAUGUGCAUGAGGCAGCUAUUCUUAUCUACCUGAUAGAACCAUCUCCAGUAGAAAUAAAGACAUUAGAAAUUCUUCCAGAAUUGAUGGAGAUAGUGUGCACUUCAAAUAGAUAUAAAGGAAAACCAG